UUUUGAGAUUAUUAAUUAAUAUAAUUGAGCUUAAAUUUAAAAAACUUACAAAUUUGACUCGAAAGAUCUGGAGUAAAUUAUUUGAUGCCAAGUUGAAUACAUAACAAGGAUCUCUGUUGACUAAAUAAUCAUAAAAGCUCUUUGGCCAGCCUCCAAUCACUAAGAAUUCCAAUAUUAGGACAUUACAAAGGAACAAAACCUUCAGACUAGGCAAAACUCAAUAGUUAGCCACUAUCUUAUCAGGGUAAUCAUCAGAGCUUGCUAAGACGAAACUAAUAUAGCUUCUUCCUUCCUCAGCUUUCUUCUGUUCAGCCAGCCCAGCGUACAUCUGUUGUCUGAAUUGCUUACGAGCCUCUCGUUCUGAUAGUUUUAAAUCUUUGAAACCCUGCUCAAACUUGGCUUCAUCUUCAGGUGAAAAGAAGGCAACCUCCAUCUUCCCAAGCUCUUCAUACAUUUUUUCAAUCUUGGCUUUCCAGAAGAGGCCCAUUUCUGUGUCCAUUUUCUGGUAAGGAGUUCUCAGUAGGUACUCGUCGAUCCCUCCUGCCUUGUCUAUGCAACGAAGGGCAUGAGUGGUGACUUUGACUCUAACGUGUCGGUCUAAGAUAUAACUAAAGAGUCUCUUCUCUUGGACAUUUGGUUUCCAAGUCCUCCUACUCUUGUUACCACCAUCUUCACUGAUGCGAUUGCCGAACUGGAUGUGGCGACCGGCGAAAAGGCCACGCUUCGCUCGGCCCAUAACGACCUUGCUAUCAGGUAUGGAUUUCUUGAGAGAUUCCUCGACUCCAGGUGUCAAAGUUUUUUCUCCUACCUUUUUCAUUACUUUCUUCAUCAUCUCCUUCCCUCUAAAUGCCAUUUUCAAUAUUUUCUUUGUUGCACUAGAUUCUGGACGACGGUUAGCAACUGCUUUUCCUCUUUCUUUUUGGAUCUGCCUGGUACGAUUUCUUUAGUUCUCAUUAAUUUUCUUGGCAACCAAACGGAAAUGCUCG
Molecule: unclassified non-coding RNA, 986 nt
Filed under: Hevea brasiliensis (rubber tree)
Lineage: Eukaryota; Viridiplantae; Streptophyta; Magnoliopsida; Malpighiales; Euphorbiaceae
Source: RNAcentral